This 1511-nucleotide ribosomal RNA is filed under the name Escherichia coli. RNAcentral describes it as "partial 23S ribosomal RNA". It matches the Rfam family "Bacterial large subunit ribosomal RNA", at positions 419 to 1915 of the family's 2925-position model. The record is from RNAcentral. Lineage: Bacteria; Pseudomonadati; Pseudomonadota; Gammaproteobacteria; Enterobacterales; Enterobacteriaceae.
GGGACACGUGGUAUCCUGUCUGAAUAUGGGGGGACCAUCCUCCAAGGCUAAAUACUCCUGACUGACCGAUAGUGAACCAGUACCGUGAGGGAAAGGCGAAAAGAACCCCGGCGAGGGGAGUGAAAAAGAACCUGAAACCGUGUACGUACAAGCAGUGGGAGCCUCUUAAUGGGGUGACUGCGUACCUUUUGUAUAAUGGGUCAGCGACUUAUAUUCUGUAGCAAGGUUAACCGAAUAGGGGAGCCGAAGGGAAACCGAGUCUUAACUGGGCGUUAAGUUGCAGGGUAUAGACCCGAAACCCGGUGAUCUAGCCAUGGGCAGGUUGAAGGUUGGGUAACACUAACUGGAGGACCGAACCGACUAAUGUUGAAAAAUUAGCGGAUGACUUGUGGCUGGGGGUGAAAGGCCAAUCAAACCGGGAGAUAGCUGGUUCUCCCCGAAAGCUAUUUAGGUAGCGCCUCGUGAAUUCAUCUCCGGGGGUAGAGCACUGUUUCGGCAAGGGGGUCAUCCCGACUUACCAACCCGAUGCAAACUGCGAAUACCGGAGAAUGUUAUCACGGGAGACACACGGCGGGUGCUAACGUCCGUCGUGAAGAGGGAAACAACCCAGACCGCCAGCUAAGGUCCCAAAGUCAUGGUUAAGUGGGAAACGAUGUGGGAAGGCCCAGACAGCCAGGAUGUUGGCUUAGAAGCAGCCAUCAUUUAAAGAAAGCGUAAUAGCUCACUGGUCGAGUCGGCCUGCGCGGAAGAUGUAACGGGGCUAAACCAUGCACCGAAGCUGCGGCAGCGACACUAUGUGUUGUUGGGUAGGGGAGCGUUCUGUAAGCCUGUGAAGGUGGCCUGUGAGGGUUGCUGGAGGUAUCAGAAGUGCGAAUGCUGACAUAAGUAACGAUAAAGCGGGUGAAAAGCCCGCUCGCCGGAAGACCAAGGGUUCCUGUCCAACGUUAAUCGGGGCAGGGUGAGUCGACCCCUAAGGCGAGGCCGAAAGGCGUAGUCGAUGGGAAACAGGUUAAUAUUCCUGUACUUGGUGUUACUGCGAAGGGGGGACGGAGAAGGCUAUGUUGGCCGGGCGACGGUUGUCCCGGUUUAAGCGUGUAGGCUGGUUUUCCAGGCAAAUCCGGAAAACCAAGGCUGAGGCGUGAUGACGAGGCACUACGGUGCUGAAGCGACAAAUGCCCUGCUUCCAGGAAAAGCCUCUAAGCAUCAGGUAACAUCAAAUCGUACCCCAAACCGACACAGGUGGUCAGGUAGAGAAUACCAAGGCGCUUGAGAGAACUCGGGUGAAGGAACUAGGCAAAAUGGUGCCGUAACUUCGGGAGAAGGCACGCUGAUAUGUAGGUGAAGCGACUUGCUCGUGGAGCUGAAAUCAGUCGAAGAUACCAGCUGGCUGCAACUGUUUAUUAAAAACACAGCACUGUGCAAACACGAAAGUGGACGUAUACGGUGUGACGCCUGCCCGGUGCCGGAAGGUUAAUUGAUGGGGUUAGCGGCAACGCGAAGCUCUUGAUCGA